This 254-nucleotide ribosomal RNA is filed under the name uncultured bacterium. RNAcentral describes it as "partial 16S ribosomal RNA". It matches the Rfam family "Bacterial small subunit ribosomal RNA", at positions 524 to 777 of the family's 1533-position model. The record is from RNAcentral.
UACAGAGGUCCCAAGCGUUGUUCGGAUUCACUGGGCGUAAAGGGUGCGUAGGCGGUCGGGUAAGUCUGACGUGAAAUCUUCAAGCUCAACUUGGAAACUGCGUCGGAUACUAUUCGGCUAGAGGAAUGGAGGGGAGACUGGAAUACUUGGUGUAGCAGUGAAAUGCGUAGAUAUCAAGUGGAACACCAGUGGCGAAGGCGAGUCUCUGGACAUUUCCUGACGCUGAGGCACGAAAGCCAGGGGAGCAAAACGGG